CAAAGUUGUGAGCUUGUAAUGUUUUUUUCUUUAUAAGUCCUGGUUUGAGUGCUGAUUCAGAAUAAAAAGGUUGGUAGAUUUUUUUGGGGCCUUAUUUGUAGAUCUUAUUUUGCUUAACAUUAUUGCUUUUUACAGUUUUUCUCUAUCUAUAUUAAUGUUCAAGAUACAAAUACACAAAUAUAAUCAAGAAGUAAUUGUAACAGGUGUCCCAAACAAACCUCCCAUAUUCAUUUGAUUUGUUUAAUUGUCCCCUACAAGAAUAUACAUGUAUAUGGUUUAGGGGUGGGAAUCUUGACCAUUCACAAGUUUUCAAACAAGAGGGGGUGGGCCCCGGGUUACCCCCUAAGGAUUUCAUUUGUUUUAUUGUCCCCUACAAGAAUAUAUAUGGUUUAGGGGUGGGGAUCUGGACCGUUUACAAGAUAAUAGCACAUUCUCAAAUUGAAUGGGGUGGGGGUGACCCCCACGGACUUCCCUUUAAUUUCAUUUCACUUGUUUUAUUGUCCCCUACAAGAAUAUAUAUGGUUUAGGGGUGGGGUGACCCCCUAAGGACUUCCCUUUUGUUUUAUUUCAUUUGUUUUAUUGUCCCCUACAAGAAUAUAUAUGGUUUAGGGGUGGGGAUCUGGACCGUUUACAAGAUAAUAGCACAUUCUCAAAUUGAAUGGGGUGGGGGUGACCCCCACGGACUUCCCUUUAAUUUCAUUUCACUUGUUUUAUUGUCCCCUACAAGAAUAUAUAUGGUUUAGGGGUGGGUGACCCCCUAAGGACUUCCCUUUUUGUUUCAUUUCAUUUGUUUUAUUGUCCCCUACAAGAAUAUAUAUGGUUUAGGGGUAGGGAUCUGCACCAUUUACAAGAUAAUAGCACAUUCUCAAAUUGAAUGGGGUGGGGGUGACCCCCACGGACUUCCCUUUAAUUUCAUUUGACUUGUUUUAUUGUCCCCUACAAGAAUAUAUAUGGUUUAGGGGUGGGGAUCUUGACCGUUUACAAGUUUUCAAACAAGAGGGGUGGGGUGACCCCCUAAGGACUUCCCUUUUGUUUCAUUUCAUUUGUUUUAUUGUCCCCUACAAGAAAAUAUAUGGUUUAGCGGUGGGGAUCUGGAUUGUUUACAAGAUAAUAGCACAUUCUCAAAUUGAAUGGGGUGGGGGUACCCCCACGGACUUCCCUUUAAUUUCAUUUCACUUGUUUUAUUGUCCCCUACAAGAAUAUAUAUGGUUUAAGGGUGGGGUGACCCCCUCGGGACUUCCCUUUUAUUUCAUUUCAUUUGUUUUAUUGUCCCCUACAAGAAUAUAUAUGGUUUAGGGGUGGGGAUCUGGACCAUUUACAAGAUAAUAGCACAUUCUCAAAUUGAACGGGGUGGGGGG
RNAcentral lists this long non-coding RNA (1358 nucleotides) under Mytilus galloprovincialis (Mediterranean mussel). Lineage: Eukaryota; Metazoa; Mollusca; Bivalvia; Mytilida; Mytilidae. The record is from RNAcentral.